This 484-nucleotide ribosomal RNA is filed under the name uncultured bacterium. RNAcentral's name for it is "partial 16S ribosomal RNA". It matches the Rfam family "Bacterial small subunit ribosomal RNA", at positions 28 to 523 of the family's 1533-position model. The record is from RNAcentral.
GACGAACGCUGGCGGCGUGCUUAACACAUGCAAGUCGAACGAUGAAGCUGGAGCUUGCUCCGGUGGAUUAGUGGCGAACGGGUGAGUAACACGUGAGAAAUCUGCCCUUGACUCUGGGAUAACUGCGGGAAACUGUAGCUAAUACCGGAUAUUUUCCUUGGUGGGCAUCUACUGGGGAAGAAAGAAUUUCGGUUAAGGAUGAUUGUGCGGCCUAUCAGCUAGUUGGUGAGGUAAUGGCUCACCAAGGCGACGACGGGUAGCCGGCCUGAGAGGGUGACCGGCCACACUGGGACUGAGACACGGCCCAGACUCCUACGGGAGGCAGCAGUGGGGAAUAUUGCACAAUGGGCGCAAGCCUGAUGCAGCAACGCCGCGUGAGGGAUGAAGGCCUUCGGGUUGUAAACCUCUUUUAGCAGGGAAGAAGCGAAAGUGACGGUACCUGCAGAAAAAGCACCGGCUAACUACGUGCCAGCCGCCGCGGUAA